This 3236-nucleotide long non-coding RNA is filed under the name Takifugu rubripes (torafugu). RNAcentral's name for it is "lncRNA (ENSTRUG00000032316.1)". Lineage: Eukaryota; Metazoa; Chordata; Actinopteri; Tetraodontiformes; Tetraodontidae. The record is from RNAcentral.
AUGAACUCCCGGUACCGAGCUGAGAGCCGUCCAUUUAUCCUCCAUAGAAAAGAGUGCGCGUCCGAAACCAUGAGCAGCAUCACCUCCCCUUCUUCAUCUGCAUUAUUAAGCCAGUUUGUGCAGUUCAAUAAGGACUGUCGACUCACUGCAAAAGGGGGUGAAACCAGACCUCAUCUCUCCCGCUGCAUGCUGGGAAAGGCUGCGUUCCUGUGCAUCAUCAAAGGACGGAUCGCUUUGAAGUGAACGCCGCAAGGAGCCGCGACGACACACUGGUGCACACUGCGGUGGAAGCUGCCACCUCCCACGGCAACAAAUUACAGACCAGAUUCCAGUGACAAGCUGCAAAUAGGAUCUAAUCCUCUUACAUUCUUACAUUCAAAAUGCAAAUCUCCGUUCUGUGCUCAUUUCAAUUUAGUGUAAUAAAGUUGUGUUCAAACAGCAAAUAAAUAUGCUAAUGUAUUGUGAUAUAUACUAACUUGGUGUGUAUUCCUUCAAGUGUCAUUAUAAAGAGUAUUUAUAGGCACAUUUGCAUACAGCGAAGAUUCCCUCUGCCUCUGUGUUUGUCUGUAUUAGCAGAGGAUUACCGACUCCUUGGGUCUGGCUGCUCAAAUGUGACGCGACUAGAAAAAAGGCCUCUGCUCCAGCUGGGGGCGCAGGUUUAGUCGGCCCACCUCUGAGGGUUAGGGGGUUCCAAAAUUAGAAACCUUUUCUGACGGCAGCUCCCAGGUGUGAGAAUAUACCACUUUAAAAAAGAGUCUCGGAUCAAGCGGAUGCCUGCGGAGGUUAAAAAUCGUGAAAACCACCUAAAAACCGCCGCACCCCUAAAGCUAAGGGAAGUAACGGAUAAAUAAUAUUUCCAAUUCCCUGGAGUUCCCUGGGUUUUUGUGCUGAAGAGCACCACUUUGUGGAACAUAGCCACAGUGUUCCGUACUUCCGUACUCCAAAAUGGAGUAAAAGAAAAGAACUUAGUGGACAGAAGUGGAAGAAUGAGGUCCAGGUGUGGAAGAAGCAUCACAAAUGCUGCUGGAGUUCAUGUUGGCACAUACGGAACCACUUGAAAAACUUAUAAGAAGCUGAACCACAACAGUUUCAGCGGCUCUGGAACUUUUUGAAACACGAACCAUAUUUAUUUACUUGGGUAAACAAAUCCCUGUUGCUAAAACUUCCUGGAAACAUUAGCCGCAAAGUCGCUGUCGCUUGAUGAACUGAUGCAGCUGAUAAAUAUUUGAGGCCGUUGCUGGUUUGCACACUUGGCACGGAGAGGCCGUCGGACAUGUGCAAACCAAUCAGAGCGUUCCGACCUCUCUGCACAAAUAACAUGUUUACCUCACUCCAGUUACCCCCAAAACCCUUCAGUACCACAUGUUCUUGCAGCUUGUUGGGCAGUUUUUUCCCCACAUCGGUGGUGCAUCUGUAGGUUAUCCAACAAAUUAAAGUCAUUAAACAGAGAAAGAAUUGCAACAAUACCCACAAAUUAGUGAGAAGAACACACGUGUGGUUCAGAAGGCACCAGAGCUGUGGAACAAAUAUUAGUGACACCCCUGAUAUGUUGCUAACGUGAGUGAAUAGGUGAAGGUCAGAGUAGGACAGGUGGGGGGCAUCUGGGAGAGAAUCGUGGAAUGAACCCACUCCGGAGGGUGGAUGAAGACUUUAAUCCCGAUGAUACACUUAUGAAUCAUCAGAGGUUCCAAAUAUUGUAAGAGCGCGCCGGUUUUACAGCGUCGCCCCCGGUGAUGUGAGGAAACAAAAGCGGCGGCGGCGGGAUCCCUCACAGCAGGGAGCAGGUUUAACGGCUCACGCUGCGUUUUCUCGGCGCCCCUGGAGACGACGGCAGCGCGCUCAGACGGCGCUCUGCGAUCAGAAUACCCGCAUUUUGAUCACCGCCAUCUAUUUUCCAGCAGAAUGGAAAUGAGAGGUGAAGCCGGGGCGUGGAAAUGUGACGGAGUGGACAAGAUUGCACAACGGAUGCGACGCCCCCUUUGUUUGAAAUGAAGCACCUCUGAUUGUGCAGCUCAACAAGGGGGGGUCGUAAAUUAUUCAGGCGCUCUCUGAUGGCUGCCCAUUUAUAAUUGGCCCAUUAGGACUGGCUGGACACAUUUCUCGCUGCUCUGCCCGCUUUAGAACGACAGAGAGGAAACAUGUGACCUCCGUGUAAGAUUCCGCCUUCACUCUAAUGCUUAAUUUAUUCAUUACCGUCCAUCUGUAUUGGGAGCCGCGAUAAUAAACAGCGGAGUAUCGGGAGAAACGUGAAAACGGAGGAUUAUUACAGCCCAACAAGGUGAACUGUGGCUUCUCCGCCACCUUCACAGUCCCGUCACGUCACAGAAAAACAAAAACAGUGGAGGCAGUAGUGGCCAGCGGUGGCAGCGCCGCUUCCUGUAUUGUAUCAGCCGGAGGGCUUCUCACAGCACCAUUUGUUCCACACUCCCUUUCAUUCACGCCCAUGUGUGCUCGUGCUGAAAUGGCUGCCAGAAAACAGGGGUCUGAAUGACCCCUCUGUGCGUUUCUCCGCAACCGCCGCUGGAACAGGCGUCGCGCAUUUGUGGAUGCGGUCGCUUUGUUUAUUUAUUUUUUUUAAAUGAUGCAGGAGGAGGCUGAAGCCACGCGGCCGAGCCCCUGCAGGUGCAGGACGUGGGUCGGUUCAGAUGAGGAUCAUCAAGGCCUGAAAUGAGGCCCAUCAGAAUUUUGUACGCUGUUAAUUUUACAGGCCGUCAGUGGUGAGAUGGAGUUCAAACGAUCGACAGGUUAGGGUUAGGGUUAGCCGAGGGGCAGCCGAUCCAUCCUUCUGGGCGUGUAUUACAUGGACUUCCGGGGAAAGGAAACAGCUUUUAACGUCAGAUUAUGUCGUGAUAAUUUGCCCCGGCAUCGUCGGAAUAAUGCGAUUAAUGCAUUAUUGGCACCGUAAAGCAAAUCCCAGUUGGCGUAUUAUUAUAAAGGUUUGUGACACAGCUGCUGUUGCUGACUUAUUUAUUUAAUUCAGGUCCAGUCAAGAUAUGUAAUAUGCCGUCAUGAUAUUAGCCUAAUUAAUAUUUUAUAAGCACACACCAUAUGUGCAGGUUGUGGGUUGUAAAUUAUGGAGAUAAUAUUCCACUCCUGCCACACACUGUGUAUGCAGAAGCUAAACUCCCCCUGACUGUUAAUGCCUUUAGCAUUCCUGUUAGCAGGUUUUCAGCUCAACUUUGUUUUAACGUGUCUUUAAAAAAAAAAAAAAAAAUUGCUUAUAAAGCCGACAGACA